RNAcentral lists this small RNA (83 nucleotides) under Staphylococcus aureus. RNAcentral's name for it is "HMPRFS0000_2587". Lineage: Bacteria; Bacillati; Bacillota; Bacilli; Caryophanales; Staphylococcaceae. The record is from RNAcentral.
AUCUAUCACACAUUUAUUUUCAAGGAGGUUGAAUAUGUUUUUAGAUGAACACAUUAAUCGAAACUUUGAUAAACUUAAUGAUA